UACGUAGGGUGCGAGCGUUAAUCGGAAUUACUGGGCGUAAAGCGUGCGCAGGCGGUUCGUUGUGUCGGUGGUGAAAGCCCCGGGCUUAACUUGGGAAUGGCCAUGGAAACUGGCGAACUGGAGUGUGGCAGAGGGGGGUGGAAUUCCGCGUGUAGCAGUGAAAUGCGUAGAGAUGCGGAGGAACACCGAUGGCGAAGGCAGCCCCCUGGGCUAGCACUGACGCUCAGGCACGAAAGCGUGGGGAGCAAACAGG
This 253-nucleotide ribosomal RNA is filed under the name uncultured bacterium. RNAcentral's name for it is "partial 16S ribosomal RNA". It matches the Rfam family "Bacterial small subunit ribosomal RNA", at positions 524 to 776 of the family's 1533-position model. The record is from RNAcentral.